Molecule: long non-coding RNA, 5478 nt
Organism: Zeugodacus cucurbitae (melon fly)
Lineage: Eukaryota; Metazoa; Arthropoda; Insecta; Diptera; Tephritidae
Exons: 2
Source: RefSeq, a predicted model, not a curated record
UAGUUCCGUGCAUUUCAAUAUCAACUUGAUUUUUGUCGAGAUUGCUACACAGUGGAUAUAUCGCCAUGAAAACUGACUUCAAAUCGCCUAAAGUUUGGACCUCAUCAAAUGGAAACUUUGCAGAAUUUCCAUAAAUUCUACUAAAUUUAUUAAAGAAAUGAAGAUGUUUGCGAGUCAUUUGUCCACAAAAGAGUUGGCGGGAGUUUUUACUAUCAUGUUCCACUAGUGCUUGGGUCUGCGCAAAGUUGUGAUUUCUCCUAGUUGUUACUACUGUUACUAUCUAUUGAAUUUGAAACGCCUAUGCUCACAGCUCAUUCAUAUUUCCCAUGAGAACAAGUUUUCUUUAUCUUUAUCGAUUUAUUUGUCCCACUGUGCGUGCGCUCUCUAUCAGCUGCAUUUAUGUAAGUGUAGCACACACACACGAAAACGAACGCUACAUUCCGAAGCUAUUUCUUAGAUACACUUUAUAAACACUUCCCGACCUGUCGCCGCAGUAAAUUGCGGCAUUUCCACUUCUCUUUCUUGACUCACUUCGCAUUCACUUAAGAAUAUAAACGACCAAGUUCGAAAGACCGCGUUCGUUUGUGUGAUUUUAAUAUAAUAGUUGGGUUAACAUUGAAAUUGAAGUCAGAUAGAGUAGUGGACUAACAACACUAACAGCAACAAUGGUAACACAUAAAGAAGACACGACGGCGCUCAGCGAAAUGACGUCAAGUUGAUUUAUUGCCUCCGUCAUUCUCUCGUUGUUUCAAGUGCAAGAGUUCAGCGGCAAAUCGCAGCCCGAAGUCUUACUCGAUCAGAUACUUGAGAAUAUCGGCGCUCCGCUGCACUUAAUUGUAAUUUUGAAGUAUUAAUAUGAACAAAUAUGGAAUGGAAGCUUCUGUCCGCUUUUUAGCAAGUUUUUGGGUCGAUAUAGUGGCUAUCUAUAGCCUGCUUGAACUGGAUUAAUCAAUUGUCAUUUAAAUCAUUUAAAGGGCGGCCCAAGAGACGAGGUGUUGUUGAGAUGGGUAUAAUGCUUUGAGUAUGGAGAGAACUCCACUUUUGAAUGAAAUAUUUGGUAUAAGUAAAUACAAUAACCGGAGACUACUUCCGGAAAAAACUUGAGGAAAAGUGCCGGACCAUAUUUUCAACAUCAACGAUUGACAUUUAAAUUACAUUACUUGUAAUCUCCAUCAACAGAGUACAGCGCUGAUAGAGCGGUUCACACAAACAAAGCUGGCACGAAUCGCACAAUGGCAUUAGUUCGACUGGCCGGUGCAAAGAACGACACUUGCUGCGGCCACACAGAGUUGUACACGACGUGUGCCACGAUUUUAUGGCGUAAAAGGGAAGACAUAAAGCACAAAGCGAACACAGACGAGUGUUAAAGGCAAAGAAACACAAAUUAAAGUUGUGAAUAAAGCUCGCUGGCAUUCAGACAAAAUAAAAGGCAGAUAAUGGCAAAACAUUUUCAUAUUUCAGGGACAAUAUCUUCAUGUCUACAUUUAUACUAACAUGGACUUCAUAAAAUACUAAGGUAAACCAAGAGUCAUUUAUCUUCCUUUCUGACAGUCUGAGCAAACGAAAGUUUACCCUGGACCUUACAUAUGCAAGCAUAUACAUAUAUUAAUAUGUGUUUAUUUACAUUUGCACUAUGGCAACUAAGUGGAACCUGAACUAUUACUGCAACUUUAAAUGGGAACAGAAGCGAUUUAUAGGCAUGGCAAUAGCAAGGGAGUGGGGUUUUGAAGUGCGCAGUUUUAUUUACAGUUAUUGUUAGAGGAAGAGUGGUCCCAACAGGAAACUCUGCAUAAACCAAGUAGAAAUCGUGUAUAACAGAUUGUAGGAAACGAUACACAAUAAUUAACGGUUAAAUUUCUGCAGAUUGACCGGAGCUCAGUUGUGAUAUUGGUCAAAAGAAGACUUAUUUUAGAGCAGUCUAUUAUUCGAAAUUGAACUAUCCAAGGGGACGUUGAGUUUAAAUGAACCAUUUCCAUAGCCAAAUGAAUGUAUCGAGCAUUACAAUAAAUUUGUGAAAAGUGGAGCUAACUUUCGAUUUGCGAGUUUUAAACAAACGGUAUCUGUGGUUUCCAGCGGGUCUUUACAGCAACACACAUCCAUAUACACAUAUGGGUUUUAAGGAAACUCGAAUGGUUGACAUUCGCUGUGUCUAUCAGAUGCUAAGUAUUCGACAUUGCUUGCUAACCGAACAGCUAACAAUGCUGAGUUAUGUCUUAGUAUAUGGUUUAACGGUACAUAAAGUAGCGUUAUUUUAUUAGCAACAACGUGCGGUUUGUGGAGAUAUGCCAUCUGAUUGUGCACAAUAAUACAUAUGUUCAAACGAGCACUUAUAUAAUACACAUGUAUGUGUAUGUGCUGUGUGCAACGACAACAACAAAACUGUAUUGACAUGACAAUAAGAACAACAACUCAAAUUUGCUCAAAGAGAGCAAAACGACAACAAGUAGCGAACAACGGACAGCAAAUGAGCUGGCAUAGCAACGGCGUUACCGAGUGGCAACGGUUGCCAAUAAGCAAUCGACAGUCGGCGACCAACAAUCGACAUCCGAUAGCAGUCUGACAAGACAAUUUACUUUUAUUGUGUAAGAGAUGGCGGCAGGAGGCAAAAUGCCGUCAGGUUACUCCGCAACUUGUGCGCACCUCGAUGGCGAAGAGCGAUGGGAAGUCGCGAAUGUGUGACUAACGGUUAACAGCAGCGAAUGGCGAGCUCGUUUCUCAGCGCUGAAAUGCAGAAUCGUGUUGGCCACGCUUGUGGGAGACUACGUCACCUGCACGCCGCUAAAGUGUUUGACAUUUUAUUUAUAUUCACGCUGGCACAUGAACUCACUUCGCGCCUCGCCGUCCCUCCUUUGCCACUUUGCCAUUGUAUCUUCGCCGUUUCCUUUCUUUUUUCCUCAACUCGUCUUUGGCAUUUUCAUUUUUCCGCUAGUAAGCAUUCGCCAAAUCGCAAAAUGAACACGCAGAAGCGGAGCGCCUUCACUGGGGGCCGGUAUGUAAGAGGUGAGUAGCAGAAGCACCAGCAGUGGCAGCGGCAUUCGGAUGCACUCUGGCCGGUCGGUAAUUUACACGUUCCACGCUUCCAGCGGCAAGUGCAACGAACCGAUGCAACAAUGCUGACGAGAGCCAUUGCCGAUGCAAGCGUGCUAAGCGGCUAAAGCGGCACGACGCUGAUAUGCAUGCGAAUCGAUUGCUAGUGGGGAAUUGCUAGUGCUUGAAAGCAUUAGCAACAGCUGAAGAGCUCAGCAUUUGUUGGCCAAUUGCAAGCGCAAUUGCAUUUCGGCGAUUGCCAAAUGUUGGUGUUGUUGCAAUGGGUCUUUGUGGUUGCGGCCAGAGCUUUGCUUGUUUGGCUUUUGUCAUUGCUGUCAGCGCUAUUGUAGUUGGCAUGUUGUUGUCGUUGAGGCGCGUUGGAAUCUUUGUUUGUUGUCGAUUUGUUAAAUUUCGUGAAAGGUCGCCGGAGAUUGCCGUUGCCGUCUGCAUUGUUGCUGCAGUUGUUACAAUUGUCUUGCCAGCGCUCCGGUUGUUUGCUGUGGCUUAACCCCACUGCGGCGGUGUUGCGGUUAACCGUCACGUUACGUUCAACACUGUAUGUACAUAUGUAUGUGUGUGUUUGUGUUGGCAUUACUUUUCCAUGCUGUAUUUAUCUAUAACUUUUAUCAUCCUCUUUACUGUUGUCUUUUCCGUAAUUUUCCCAUCUCUUUCAGUCGGUGUAAUUUGGCUCGGCCUGUUUUUUGCGCCAAUCCUAUUUCACAAUUUCACAUCUGCUGCUUGUCGUGUUCGUGGAUAAUUAUGUUCGGUGUUUGUGAUUUUCCCACCAGCGUGGAACAAUUACUAUUUUAUAUGUACGUAGAUACCAUGCACCAAGUAGGAAUGGUGGCUCCAAGUGUUUAUCUUAGCAUUUACAGGAACUGUACACAGUCCAUAUUACCAAAAAAAUAUUCUUUUUACGAACCAAUGUCUAAAUUGGAACCCAUAUCUUAAACCGACCGCAGAAACACAGGUUUGUUUUAUAUAAAUGUACAAAAUACAUAUCCGGAUUGUACAGAAAAUAUAUGCUAAAAGUUGGCAAUAUAAACGAGAAACUGACGUUUUCACUAGAGGGUACUGCAGAAGACACUUUGCAAUUUACAGAGUAAAGCAAAUUGUAAUUAUGUUUCGCUACUUUUGUGGUAAUCUGUUGGGAGAUCUUUAACGGCAACAAUGCAGGCAUUAGUCAUGUUUAAAUUUUUAUUUAUGGCUCGUAAUAGCAAUAUAUUUCUGUUGUAUUUGUUUUAAUGUGUACUUAUGCAGCUUCAAAUUUAUUGUGGGGAAAUGCAGUAUGAUCAUUAAGUGCCAAUCGAUUUAUUGUAAUUCCCGAAUUAAUAUUAUCAAAUUAAUGUUUUUGGGUAUAACUUUAGAGAUCAUUGGUUCCGAAGUAAUAAUAUACAUUUUAAAUGUGAUUGUGAGAGAAAGUGACGUUGUCAACUUUUUUACAACUAUUUUUGAAAUAUUAUUUUAAAUAUAGUUUGUGAAUUCACCGCUUACUAGCAAGCAUAAUCAAAUAAUGUGGACUCAUAAUUUCUUUCUACAGACAAGUAUUUGGUUGAAUUCCUAGCAGGAACAAAUCUCUCAUCCAGAACCGGAAGACUAACACAGUAACAAUUCUUCAACACAUAAAGAUAGAGAGAGAUGACCUGAAAAAAUGUCUAAUAACUUUUCAAAUAUCAUGCUAACUGAUUGUUUUCAUGAAAUACCAAUUUUUAUCUUUUUUCUAUAACGAAUAAUUAAAGAAACUUCUCUUACAAAAAUUACAGAAUAUUACCCCAAGUAUAAGAGGCUUACAUGUUAUAAAUACUAUUUUUUACACAAUCUGAAAGUAAUAAUUUUUUAUAGAAUAAGCGCUGCUGAAGACUUAAAUGUUUAGCAUAAUUUAGAAACUAAGAAUUUUCAACUUCUACUCACAUAGCAAGAUCCUUUUCUGCGCUUUUAUUGGUACGAAGACGUAGUAGGGAAUUCAGUUCUUUCAUUACAUCACUACCUUUACGUUCCAGCUCGGAAAACAGUUCAGUGUCGUCUAUUUUAUGCAGAUCCGAACCGCUUCGACUCUUUAUGGAGCCAGAUCUUUGGAAUUGAGGACACUUAUAAGUUACUUUUAAGUAAAAUUAUUAUUUUACCUACCGAUCGAUAGAAUCCACACUGCUAUGUAUAUCGAAAUCCAUCAUUAGAUCGUCGGAACAUAUCGACUCACAGGGAGAGAGGGUGUCGAGAGAAUCGGCACGUUCCAUUACUGCCUUUCGUAGCGAGAGAGGUGUACGAAGACUCAACUCGAUUGCUUGCUGUAGGGCACUACGUGCCUUCGAUUGGCUCUUUAGGGAACGCAUCGAACCGGUGUUUUCCAUAAGUGUGGGGGUGUCUGUCUUAUCUUUGUGUGACGUCAAACUGUCCACCAGAUCAUGGGCUUCACUGUUAAACAGCAACGCCGGUUGGUCAGCGAUCUCAUCA